This 235-nucleotide long non-coding RNA is filed under the name Elaeis guineensis (African oil palm). RNAcentral's name for it is "long non-coding RNA (EGUI_LNC064455)". The record is from RNAcentral. Lineage: Eukaryota; Viridiplantae; Streptophyta; Magnoliopsida; Arecales; Arecaceae.
UACCAAUGCAAACCUUAAUGUGUGUGGUUUAGAUUUUUUUUUUUUAAGAAAGAGGGAGAAAGAAAAGAGAACAAGAAGAAAGAAAGAAGUUCUAAAGGUGAGAUCCUUAAGAAAGUUCUAGACCUAAAGACAAAAGAUGAGAAGAAUUAGUUGUAGUUGAGUGUUAAUUGUAAUUAAGUUAGUAGAUAAUUAAAUCUAGACACCUACAGGUUUCUUAGACCUAACAGUUCGAUAU